CCUUCUCAGAUCCCACGUUCCGCUCAAAAUUCGCAGCCACUUGGGCUUUCUUGUAAAUGAAUCAAAGGAGCACACCUGUAUCAUAUGUUACUUCCAAAACCCAAUGAGGCUUGUCAAGUGUUACAACUUUUUCUUUACCGCCGUCCGAUGCAAGGUGUAUUAAGUUGUAUUUCGUAUUGACAAGGAUAUCCCUAUGUACCUCAGACAGGUCACUUCGGGCUCCAUGAUUCUAUGAAUGUAGAAAACUCCAGCACGGAAAAAUAUCUGAAUAAUUACUUAUCCCUCAGUGUCACGUCAGAGUUACUGUAAUUAAUUAAAAGGUUUGGGCUCAUUGUUCUAUCUUUGCCAUUUACGGCUUUCCGAAUUUUUACAAUGAAAAUGUUGCGAUUGAAUCAAAGGCGUGGACAAAAAUGAUCGUGUCUAUACAAGUUUGUAAAUUCUUAAAUGGUAUGCAUUUUGAAAAAAAGCUUUCAUAAUGGAUAUCAAAAGGAUUAUUUUCCUCUGUAGCUUUUUCAUAAGAAAAAUGUCAUUUUCCUGAUCACAUUGAUGGUAAAACGGUCAUGUUUAGCCUGAUCAAAUUUAAGCU
This is a long non-coding RNA of Neofelis nebulosa (Clouded leopard), 586 nucleotides long. RefSeq lists it as uncharacterized. Lineage: Eukaryota; Metazoa; Chordata; Mammalia; Carnivora; Felidae. The record is from RefSeq and is a predicted model, not a curated record. The transcript is spliced from 3 exons.